GACGAACGCUGGCGGCGUGCCUAAUACAUGCAAGUCGAGCGCAGGAAAUCGACGGAACCCUUCGGGGGGAAGUCGACGGAAUGAGCAGCGGACGGGUGAGUAACACCUAAAGAACCUGCCCUCAGGUCUGGGAUAACCACGAGAAAUCGGGGCUAAUACCGGAUGGGUCAUCGGACCGCAUGGUCCGAGGAUGAAAGGCGCUUCGGCGUCGCCUGGGGAUGGCUUUGCGGUGCAUUAGCUAGUUGGUGGGGUAAUGGCCCACCAAGGCGACGAUGCAUAGCCGACCUGAGAGGGUGAUCGGCCACACUGGGACUGAGACACGGCCCAGACUCCUACGGGAGGCAGCAGUAGGGAAUCUUCCACAAUGGACGAAAGUCUGAUGGAGCAACGCCGCGUGAACGAUGAAGGCCUUCGGGUCGUAAAGUUCUGUUGUAAGGGAAGAACAAGUGCCGCAGGCAAUGGCGGCACCUUGACGGUACCUUGCGAGAAAGCCACGGCUAACUACGUGCCAGCCGCCGCCGUAA
RNAcentral lists this ribosomal RNA (524 nucleotides) under uncultured bacterium. RNAcentral describes it as "partial 16S ribosomal RNA". It matches the Rfam family "Bacterial small subunit ribosomal RNA", at positions 28 to 523 of the family's 1533-position model. The record is from RNAcentral.